GGUAUUGAUUGGUGCUUGCAUCAUGAUUUACAUUUGAGUGAGUGGCGAACUGGUGAGUAACACGUGGGAAACCUGCCCAGAAGCGGGGGAUAACACCUGGAAACAGAUGCUAAUACCGCAUAACAACUUGGACCGCAUGGUCCGAGUUUGAAAGAUGGCUUCGGCUAUCACUUUUGGAUGGUCCCGCGGCGUAUUAGCUAGAUGGUGAGGUAACGGCUCACCAUGGCAAUGAUACGUAGCCGACCUGAGAGGGUAAUCGGCCACAUUGGGACUGAGACACGGCCCAAACUCCUACGGGAGGCAGCAGUAGGGAAUCUUCCACAAUGGACGAAAGUCUGAUGGAGCAACGCCGCGUGAGUGAAGAAGGGUUUCGGCUCGUAAAACUCUGUUGUUAAAGAAGAACAUAUCUGAGAGUAACUGUUCAGGUAUUGACGGUAUUUAACCAGAAAGCCACGGCUAACUACGUGCCAGCAGCCGCGGUAAUACGUAGGUGGCAAGCGUUGUCCGGAUUUAUUGGGCGUAAAGCGAGCGCAGGCGGUUUUUUAAGUCUGAUGUGAAAGCCUUCGGCUCAACCGAAGAAGUGCAUCGGAAACUGGGAAACUUGAGUGCAGAAGAGGACAGUGGAACUCCAUGUGUAGCGGUGAAAUGCGUAGAUAUAUGGAAGAACACCAGUGGCGAAGGCGGCUGUCUGGUCUGUAACUGACGCUGAGGCUCGAAAGUAUGGGUAGCAAACAGGAUUAGAUACCCUGGUAGUCCAUACCGUAAACGAUGAAUGCUAAGUGUUGGAGGGUUUCCGCCCUUCAGUGCUGCAGCUAACGCAUUAAGCAUUCCGCCUGGGGAGUACGGCCGCAAGGCUGAAACUCAAAGGAAUUGACGGGGGCCCGCACAAGCGGUGGAGCAUGUGGUUUAAUUCGAAGCUACGCGAAGAACCUUACCAGGUCUUGACAUACUAUGCAAAUCUAAGAGAUUAGACGUUCCCUUCGGGGACAUGGAUACAGGUGGUGCAUGGUUGUCGUCAGCUCGUGUCGUGAGAUGUUGGGUUAAGUCCCGCAACGAGCGCAACCCUUAUUAUCAGUUGCCAGCAUUAAGUUGGGCACUCUGGUGAGACUGCCGGUGACAAACCGGAGGAAGGUGGGGAUGACGUCAAAUCAUCAUGCCCCUUAUGACCUGGGCUACACACGUGCUACAAUGGAUGGUACAACGAGUUGCGAACUCGCGAGAGUAAGCUAAUCUCUUAAAGCCAUUCUCAGUUCGGAUUGUAGGCUGCAACUCGCCUACAUGAAGUCGGAAUCGCUAGUAAUCGCGGAUCAGCAUGCCGCGGUGAAUACGUUCCCGGGCCUUGUACACACCGCCCGU
RNAcentral lists this ribosomal RNA (1356 nucleotides) under Lactiplantibacillus plantarum. RNAcentral describes it as "bacterial SSU rRNA". It matches the Rfam family "Bacterial small subunit ribosomal RNA", at positions 68 to 1397 of the family's 1533-position model. Lineage: Bacteria; Bacillati; Bacillota; Bacilli; Lactobacillales; Lactobacillaceae. The record is from RNAcentral.